RNAcentral lists this ribosomal RNA (247 nucleotides) under uncultured bacterium. RNAcentral describes it as "partial 16S ribosomal RNA". It matches the Rfam family "Bacterial small subunit ribosomal RNA", at positions 523 to 769 of the family's 1533-position model. The record is from RNAcentral.
AUACGUAGGUGGCAAGCGUUGUCCGGAUUUAUUGGGCGUAAAGCGAGCGCAGGCGGUUUUUUAAGUCUGAUGUGAAAGCCUUCGGCUCAACCGAAGAAGUGCAUCGGAAACUGGGAAACUUGAGUGCAGAAGAGGACAGUGGAACUCCAUGUGUAGCGGUGAAAUGCGUAGAUAUAUGGAAGAACACCAGUGGCGAAGGCGAUUCUCUGGACUGUAACUGACACUGAGGCACGAAUGCGUGGGUAGC